AGAUUGAACGCUAGCGGGAUGCUUUACACAUGCAAGUCGAACGGCAGCGCGGACUUCGGUCUGGCGGCGAGUGGCGAACGGGGUGAGUAAUAUAUCGGAACGUGCCCAGUAGCGGGGGAUAACUACGCGAAAGCGUGGCUAAUACCGCAUACGCCCUACGGGGGAAAGGGGGGAUUCUUCGGAACCUCUCACCAUUGGAGCGGCCGAUAUCAGAUUAGCUAGUUGGUGAGGUAAAGGCUCACCAAGGCGAACGAUCUGUAGCU
Molecule: ribosomal RNA, 263 nt
Filed under: uncultured soil bacterium
Lineage: Bacteria
Description: partial 16S ribosomal RNA
Rfam family: Bacterial small subunit ribosomal RNA
Source: RNAcentral